Molecule: long non-coding RNA, 5389 nt
Organism: Taeniopygia guttata (zebra finch)
Lineage: Eukaryota; Metazoa; Chordata; Aves; Passeriformes; Estrildidae
Source: Ensembl
CGGUCGCGUAGCAACCUGAUGCAGGCUGAUGUAAGCUGCGUGCUGCCUUCCUCUGCCGGCUGCACUCCUCCGAUGUGUCUGGGAGAUUUGUGGUGGCUUUAGACGGGGUUUGUCAUCGGUUGGACGUGCCGUGACAUCAGAAUGAUGAGGAUGUUGUUCUGUGUGUGUGCACAGAGGGGAAGGGAGGGAGAUGAUCUCCUCUGAGAGCCUCAUCCCGGGUGCUGUCUUGCUCAGGGGCACUAACAUGCACAGCUUUUUUUUAGAGGCUUGAUAGUACUUAAUCUUGUACUUAUUGUAACUGCUUUGUGUAAUACAGACUUGAGGAGAUGCAAAGUUGCCUUUAAGUGAUUUUGUCUCAAGCUCUCCCUCUUGAUUUUUCCAUUAGUCUUCUCAAAGUUACAAUAUUUUUGGGCAUGAAGCAGCUGCAAACAGGUCUGAUUUUUUCACGGUAUGACAGCACAUCAGAGAUGUAAGGGAAAACUGUAGGCCUGAUUUUUAUGCAGACCAGGUACCUGCAGAGCUGACUGACCUGUUAGUUGUUUCACGGGUCAUGUGCAGUACAGCAAGACUAAAUCCUUGUUCACAGUCACACUAAAUCUCUGUACACAAUGUGAAAUGGCAAAAGCCUGACACAUCCUUCUGGCUUAAGGGUGUGUUUCUUUAUAUGGAGCAGAAAAAUAUCUUUACAGUGAUGAGUGUGACUUCAGUCUCUGCUGAUGGCCAGAUCAGGAUCUACAGAUGCCAGAGGUGUCUGCCAAAUGAGUCUCAGCUCAGUGACCCAGGUCACUUCGUGAACACCAGUGGUGGUUGUCAUUGUGGAUGCAGACAGCUGUCCCCUGGACAUCCCUCUGUCCUCUUGAUUCAGGGACUCGCUCUGAAGUGGCUUUGUGGCAGCUGUCAAGGCUGGACCAUGCUGGACAGGAGAAGACAAAGCAAAAAAAAGAAAUCAAAGCUAAAAAGCAAGAGUGAGGACAAGUGGUAGCAAUUUGCCUCCCAAGUUGCUCAUUCCAAGCAUACUUGAACAGUGCUUUUGCAUAAUGUGUAGGGCUAUAUUUGUCCGUGAGACAGAAAGGCAGGGAGAGAGAAAAUAUUUUUACACUGAGGUCAUUCUUGCUCACUUUUUCCUCUAAGAAAAUCAGUCCUCUCCAGUCUUUUCAAUUCCUUUGCCCUCCAUCCUGCAGAGUGAGUUUUGUUUCACAUGGAAAUGGCAGUUUCCAGAUGUCACCUUGGAGGAUGCAUUUGGAACUUGCAGGGAACCCUGAGCUGUAGGUGGUGGCAGGUUUGGUCUGGGACACAUCCUGUGCUGUUUGGAAUUUUAGGAGGCAUCCGCCCACUCAGAGCCACAGGCCCCUGGGCACAAACACUUCCCUGGGAAACAAAACUCACCAGCCCAGGUUCCUGAUGUCAGUUUGCAGGAGGCGCUUGGCUCUGCCAGGACAGCCCAAGUUGUAGGUGGUGGUGAUAUGCAGAAAGACUCUAAAACUCAAAGUGAGUUAUAAAGUAGGUAUGUAUUUUCAGCCAGACACAUGCAGGAUACCUCCACAAAGGCAUGUAUAUCUAUCUACCUGGUCUCAGCGUUCUUCUUUAUCCUCUAAAAUGUUACAUAUACAUUAGGCUUUGCAACACAUUUAUGCAUAUUCAUUUCCUGCUUCCACCUUGUCCCGCUUCGUACGUGAAUUAACUUUUCAGUCCCUUGUGCCUGCAUACUCGUUUCUGGUAGUCCUCUUCAGGGUCCCCGGGGAUGAAGUAAGUAGUCUUCAUCAGAGCUGACCUUCUCACCCUGUCUUCUUGCACAUGCUUAGUGAUCCUUUGGUCACAGUCCAAACCACAAACUUGGUUUGAUCUAUUUGGGGGUCCAGAGAAGCCUUGGUAUUUGGUAGCCUUGUAACUUUGUCCUACUUUGAUGAACAACAUCCUUCCCUUAUCACACAUCCUUGCAUUCUUUCAUGUUGUUCUCGCAUGUAUAUCCUGUCCCCCAUGUAUAUCCAGUCUUCCCUUUACAGGCAGUUAGCACAGUAAAAUGCAGCAAAUAUUAAACAAUAUUUCAUCUAAAUAUCUAUUUAUAAUCAAUACCCCUCUAAUUCCUCACCCCAUGUCUCAGUGCCCCUUUUUUUAUAAGGCAGUAAGUUCUUUUACUUAGUGCAGAAAUUCUUCUUCCCAAUCUCUGCGACAGGUGUCUCUCAGUGCCUUGCCAUGCACUCAGGAUACAGUGGUUAAUACUGCUGCUCGUUGCAGCAUCUUCCAAUUCCAGGUAAGUAUCACAAAACACAUAAGGGCCUUUUUCAGUUGAUCAAAGGCCUGUGUGGCUUCCUUUGUCCACUGGAGGUCUCUGUUCCCAUUUGCAAUGAGCAAAUAAUAAAGUUUCACGUGUAUUCCAUAAUGAUGAAUCCAUAAUCUGUUGCAGUCCACCAUCCCUAAAAUGGUCCUUAGUUCUAUUAUGUUCUGAGAUUUUGGGGUUUGGCAUAUCGAUUCUAUGUGCUCUUUCCCCAUUGUCCAGCACUGACCUUAUAACCCAGGUAGAUCACCUUCUGCUUUACCACCUGAGCCUUUUUCUUUGGUACUCUGUACCCCUGAAGCCCCAAAAAGUUUAAAAGGUUUACAGUCCAGGCCACUCACCCUUCUUCUGUAGAGGUAGCUAUUAGGGUAUCAUCCACAUACUGCAACAGUUUCCCUUCUCCUGGUGGAGCUUCCCAGAAUUCCAAAUCCUUUGCAAGUUGUUCUCCAAACAGGGUGGGUGAGUUUUUGAAGCCAUGUGAACUGAGUUUUGCAUCAAAUUGGGUGUUCCCAUUCGAAUGCAAAAAUUUUCUGGUUGGCUUCAUGGAGAGGGAGGCAAAAGAAGGCAUCCUUCAAAUCUAAAACAGUAAACCAAGUUAGCUCUGGUGUUAAACAUGUUAACAAGGUGUACAGGGUAGAGAUCCUCAGUUAUCUUGUUAACAGCCCAUAGGUCCUGCACGACCCAGUGUGACCCAUCAGGUUUCCGGACAGGCAGGAUAGGAGUGCUGAAAUCAGAUUGGCACUCUUUCAGUUACCCCAGCUGUAAGAAAUUUUCAAUUACCAGGCUAAUUCCUUCUCUAUCUUCUUUUCUCAAAGGAUACUGUUUAAUUCUAACUGGUUGUUUUCCUUCCUUAAACUUAAUUUGUAUUGGGGGUGCAUUUUUCUCCCUCCCUGGUACAUUGGAAGCCCAUACUCCUAGAAACACUUGGUUCACUAUCUCCUCACUAAUUUCCUCUUUAACCUCCAUAGCUGUUAACAUUAAACUCAACACUUCUACAUAUUUUUACUCAUUCACCUCCAGAGUAACCUUCCCAUUUUUAAAUUAAAUGGUUACCUGUAAUUCUCCAGCAAGUCUCUCUUUUGGAGUGACUCUGGAGAGUUGGGCACAUAUAGAAACUAACGGAUGUCCCAUUGUUUUCCAUAUUUAUAUUUCAGAGGCUUGCAAAAAUAUGCUAUUUUAUAUUGGCCAGUUGCCUCCUUUACCCUAACAUAAUCAUUCCCCACUGGUAUCAAAGCUUUAUUUAAAACAGAAAAUGUUGCUCCCAUGUCCACCAUGAGUCCGAUUUCUUUCCAGUUUGUAUAAGGACCACCACUGUGUGCAGUACUUCACAAAUGUGCAUUUGGAUUCUGUGUUUCCCAGGCCUGUAAUUUCCUUCCAGUGGGUUAAAAUACAGCCCAGAGGACUUGCCCUAGGGAUUUCUUUACUCUCUCCUGAUCCCAUUAUUAUCUCCUCCAUGUCCUGUUUCACUUGCACCCAAAUCUCUUCUCACACUCUUACACAGUGUUUUCCCAAUCCUCUUCCCUUACACUACAAAUCUCCAAUACUAGAUGGAAUCUUCCACAGAAAUGCUCUAAAAUUUCUAGUUCAGGGUCUCCCUGACCCUGCAUCCAACACUGGGAGCAUGCAAUAUGUCUUCUGUCAGAGGAACAGUACCAAUGCUCUCUGCAGGACCUGCACUUAACCAGCACCUACACAACAUGUUGUCCUUGCCUGCAGAAACAGAUGAUUCCACCUCUCCUAUUUGUCUGGAUAUUCAAAUCCUUUGGUGCUGGCUGUUCUAGUCUAAUGCAACUAAUUUCCCUGAAGAGGUCCUAUGUAUUCCCUCUAAAUAAACCCACUGUUUCCCCUUUAUCACCCAAUUACUCUCAGCAGUUAUGAAUUCCCAGGAAUCAAGUCCAAACCACUGGGAGAGAAGGACUCCUUCCAUCCAUCUUGCAAAGGCUAGGACAACUGUGAUCCCACAACCCUCUCAUAGGCCUUUGCUCUUUCCUUAAAACACUUUACAGUAAGCCCUAAAACCUCACAGCAAGCAAAGCCAAACAAACCUUAUAGACAGACCUUCAAAGUAAAGCACAAAAACCCUUAAAGCAACCCGGCAAGCAACACUAAACAAGCCCAAAAGACAGCACACGGUAAAAGAGAAUAUGCAAGGUAAAACAGCUCCCGCCCCUUCAGCCAGCGCACAGGGCAGUUUGCUGCAAUCACAACUUUUGACACAAGAUGGUAGUAAUACCUCAAAAAUACACCACAGCUUCACUUCGCACCAAGGCGCGGCUCAGGCACAGACACAAGCAAACAACACACAUCCGAACUUUUAUGAUGCACGCACACACAACCAAAAUAGAAGCAAUCAAACAGGAAUUCGCUCAGUCCCCAAGGACCGCUAGCGAAUCCCUUCCCCUGCUGGACACACAUCAGACCAACAGGUGAUUGCAAGCUCAAACCCACCAGGACCUUUCCUGUGCGGUCAGAUCUCUCUCAGCGGCUUAUCAGUGGUCCCUACAGGGGGUCCUUAUCAGUGGUCCCUACAGGAGGCCCCUUUUUAAGAGAAAUACCAUUCCUCCACUGCUCAGGAGGUCAUUGUUUGUCCCCAGAGUGAGCGAUCCAAGAAGCCAAAUCCCUUCCAGGGAAAAUCCUGGGAAGGCAUCUUAGGAAGUCCGCCACUCAGUCAGUCCUAUGGCUGGCAGAGAAUGUCACAUCUUGGUCGCCAAAAUGAUAUGCAGAAAGUCUCUAAAACUCAAAAUGAGUUAUAAAGUAGGUAAGUAUUUUCAGCCAGACACAUGUAAGAUUCCUCUGCAAAGGCAUGCGGAUCUACCUGCUCUCAGUGUUCUUUUUUAUUCUUUAAAAUGUUACAUAUACAUUAGAUUUUGCAAUACAUUUAUGCAUAUUAAUUUCCUGCCUCCACCUUGUCCUGCUUUGUAUGCAAAUUAAAUUAUCGGCCAUUGCGCCUGCAUACUUGUCUCUGGUAGUCCUCUUUGGGGUCCUUGGGGGUCGCAGGGGGAUGAAGCAAAUAGUCUUCAUCAGAGUUGACAUUCUCAACCCCUCUUCUUGUUCAUUCUUACUGAUCCUUUGGUCACUGUCCAAACCAUGAGGUUGGUUUGAUCUGCUUCGGGG